RNAcentral lists this ribosomal RNA (553 nucleotides) under uncultured euryarchaeote. RNAcentral describes it as "bacterial SSU rRNA". It matches the Rfam family "Archaeal small subunit ribosomal RNA", at positions 325 to 879 of the family's 1478-position model. The record is from RNAcentral. Lineage: Archaea; Methanobacteriati; Methanobacteriota.
AUGGGGUGCAGCAGGCGCGAAACCUCCGCAAUGCGGGCAACCGCGACGGGGGGACCCCCAGUGCCGUGGCAUCGCCACGGCUUUUCCGGAGUGUAAAAAGCUCCGGGAAUAAGGGCUGGGCAAGGCCGGUGGCAGCCGCCGCGGUAAUACCGGCGGCCCGAGUGGUGGCCGCUAUUAUUGGGCCUAAAGCGUCCGUAGCCGGGCCCGUAAGUCCCUGGCGAAAUCCCACGGCUCAACCGUGGGGCUUGCUGGGGAUACUGCGGGCCUUGGGACCGGGAGAGGCCGGGGGUACCCCUGGGGUAGGGGUGAAAUCCUAUAAUCCCAGGGGGACCGCCAGUGGCGAAGGCGCCCGGCUGGAACGGGUCCGACGGUGAGGGACGAAGGCCAGGGGAGCGAACCGGAUUAGAUACCCGGGUAGUCCUGGCUGUAAAGGAUGCGGGCUAGGUGUCGGGCGAGCUUCGAGCUCGCCCGGUGCCGAAGGGAAGCCGUUAAGCCCGCCGCCUGGGGAGUACGGCCGCAAGGCUGAAACUUAAAGGAAUUGGCGGGGGAGCAC